Clupea harengus (Atlantic herring) is the source of this 907-nucleotide long non-coding RNA. Lineage: Eukaryota; Metazoa; Chordata; Actinopteri; Clupeiformes; Clupeidae. The record is from Ensembl.
GCCUCGCUAAACGAUGCACACCUGUAACUCACGUGACCCUGAUUAUUAUUGAAACGAGAACGAGGGCGUCGUGCCUUUAUAAGACUGCGUUAAUGUUUCCGUGGAGUUAUCCCUUCCGGCGUUGUUGUUUAUUGAUUGUUAAACAUGGCUUCAUUUGCAAAGGUGUGUGUGUCCUCAUUGCGUGUGUCUGUAAUGCAUUCUGUUUUCCGAAGAGAGAUGUGAACUUUAAGGCCUCUGCAGUUGACCGCCAAAGUGAUGAUGUGGUUGUCACCACAACACCCGUUCCCCACAACCAGACCACAUCUGCCCAUACUGAAGCUGGUGGUGGUGCAAGUGAAGAUGCUGUGGCUACUACCCCAGCACCUAAUCCACACAACCAGACAACUUCUGCACAAACUGAAGUUACUGAUGGAGCCAGUGAAGAUGCUGUGGACCGCCAAAGUGAUGUGGUUGUCGCCACAACACCCGAUCCCCACAACCGGACCACAUCUGCCCAUACUGAAGCUGGUGGUGAUGCAAGUGAGGGUGCUGUGGCUGCCCAAACUGGAACUACUGUAUCCCAUACGACUGAAGUCUGAUUCGACUGCUCCUCUGGUCACAAUGACCUGAGUCACUGUCUGGACUUUUUGCCUCUACAUGUUGACUGCAAUAAAGGACAGAUUUGUUUUUUGAAUCAAAUGUUGUCUUGCCUUUUUCAAAUUGAGGCCUUGUCCUGUUUUGGUGGUGGAGAUGACUAUGAAGCCUCUUUCCUAACGUAUUUCCGGUAGUGGUUUUACUAUAUGCUUCAUGCAACAAGGCCUUUAACGACUCUACAAUUUAAAAGCAUCUAGUUGUGUCAAUUAGUAAAAUGGUUGAACUGGUAGUGAUGCACUAUAAUGGUGAACUGCUUGUGGCAUUUCAAAAAUCU